GAGGAAUAUUGGACAAUGGGCGCAAGCCUGACCCAGCCAUGCCGCGUGCAGGAAGACGGCCCUCUGGGUUGUAAACUGCUUUUGAAUGGGAAGAAUGUGUGGCUUGCGAGCUAUAAUGACGGUACCAUUAGAAUAAGCCACGGCUAACUACGUGCCAGCAGCCGCGGUAAUACGUAGGUGGCGAGCGUUAUCCGGAUUUAUUGGGUUUAAAGGGUGCGUAGGCGGCUUAAUAAGUCGGUGGUAAAAGGUAGCAGCUUAACUGUUUUACAUGCCAUCGAUACUGUUGAGCUUGAGUUAUUUGGAGGCAGCUAGAAUUUCCGGUGUAGCGGUGAAAUGCAUAGAUACCGGAAGGAAUACCGAUUGCGAAGGCAGGUUGCUACGAAUAUACUGACGCUGAUGCACGAAAGCGUGGGGAUCAAAC
This 421-nucleotide ribosomal RNA is filed under the name uncultured bacterium. RNAcentral describes it as "bacterial SSU rRNA". It matches the Rfam family "Bacterial small subunit ribosomal RNA", at positions 356 to 773 of the family's 1533-position model. The record is from RNAcentral.